AGAGGUAAGAAUAUACAUAAUAUAAUUGUUUACAUUUUCUUUUAAUUAGAACAUUCUUAAUGUAUUUUGUCUUAGUAGUUGUUGAUGAAAUGGAUUCUAAUAAAUUAUUGUGUGUUAAAGAAUGAAGUACUGUGAGGGUAGGUUGAAAUAUAUUAAAAGUGUUUAAUUAAAAGAAAAAUGUAAACAAUUGUACCUUGUGUAUCAGGGAAGAUAGGGUUUAUACAAUUUAUUUUGUUUUCCCGAAGAGAAAAGAUCUGCAUUGGUAUGUAUGUAAUUAUUUUAUAAAUUUUUAAAAUAUUUUGUAGAGGUAAAAUGCUUUUCGGUUUUCCGGUUAUCUGGUUGUUUAAUAAGUGAAUUUAAUUCGGCUUUUUUUUGAUGGUGACUAUUUAUAGUUGUUAUUUUUUAGGAAAAAGUAAGGUUGCAGGGGGAUGUGCUCUUGUAAAAUAUUUGUUGCUAUAAUCUGUUAUGGAAUAUGUGUUGUGUGUAGGUUUAGAAUUUGCCCUUGUUUUUAAGUUUGUUAUUAAUUGUUCUUUGUGGUAUAAUUAUUUGUGUAAGGUUUAGUUUUAUUAUUGAACUGUUGUCUUUAAUUUUUUAUGGUGAGAAAUAAUGAUUUUAUUAGUAAGUUAGGUAUUUUUUUUAUAAGAAUUAGGCAAAUAUCGUUUCUUCGCCUGUUUAACAAAAACAUGUCUUUUAGGGUAUAGUUUAAGGUUUGACCUGCCCAAUGAUGGUUUAUUUAAUGGCCGCGGUAUUUUGACCGUGCAAAGGUAGCAUAAUCAUUAGUCUUUUUAUUGGAGUCCUGUAUGAAGGGUUGGACGAGGGAAAUACUAUUUAAGUGGAAAUAUAGUUACUGAAUUUUACUUUUUAGUGAAAAGGCUUGAAUUUUUUUGAGGGACGAUAAGACCCUAUAGAUCUUUACAGUUAACUAAGUUGUUUGGUGGGUGUUUAUGUUGGAAGGAUUGUGGUUGAUUGUUUUGCUGGGGCGGCGAGGAGAUAAUAAUUAACUCUUUUUUGUUAGUGGUUACUUAUGGGUAAUUUUGUUGAUCCAUCAGAGUGAUUAUAAGACUAAGUUACCUUAGGGAUAACAGCGUAAUCUUUUUAGAGAGUUCUGAUCGAUAAAAAGGUUUGCGACCUCGAUGUUGAAUUAAGAUUUCUUUUAUGGUGAAGGAGCUUUAUAAGUUAGUCUGUUCGACUAUUAAAAUCUUACAUGAUUUGAGUUCAAACCGGUGUGAGCCAGGUUGGUUUCUAUCUUCAAAAGGGGGAUAUGUUUUAGUACGAAAGGACCAGAUAUAUUUAAUAAU
RNAcentral lists this ribosomal RNA (1298 nucleotides) under Atelura formicaria. Its description in RNAcentral is "16S ribosomal RNA". The stretch from base 860 to 1298 matches the Rfam family "Bacterial large subunit ribosomal RNA", at positions 2048 to 2709 of the family's 2925-position model. The record is from RNAcentral. Lineage: Eukaryota; Metazoa; Arthropoda; Insecta; Zygentoma; Nicoletiidae.